This 253-nucleotide ribosomal RNA is filed under the name uncultured bacterium. Its description in RNAcentral is "partial 16S ribosomal RNA". It matches the Rfam family "Bacterial small subunit ribosomal RNA", at positions 524 to 776 of the family's 1533-position model. The record is from RNAcentral.
UACGGAGGGUGCAAGCGUUAUCCGGAUUCACUGGGUUUAAAGGGUGCGUAGGUGGGUCUGUAAGUCAGUGGUGAAAGCCCUUCGCUUAACGAAGGAACUGCCAUUGAUACUGCAAAUCUUGAGUACAUUUGAUGUGGGCGGAAUGUGUCAUGUAGCGGUGAAAUGCUUAGAUAUGACACAGAACACCGAUUGCGAAGGCAGCUCACAAAACUGUAACUGACGCUGAGGCACGAAAGCGUGGGUAUCAAACAGG